Molecule: long non-coding RNA, 1197 nt
Filed under: Piliocolobus tephrosceles (Ugandan red Colobus)
Lineage: Eukaryota; Metazoa; Chordata; Mammalia; Primates; Cercopithecidae
Description: lncRNA (ENSPTEG00000012704.1)
Source: RNAcentral
CAUUCCUUAGUUUAAAAAAAAAAAAAAAGUACAGGCUCUGAAGUCAGACUGCAUGGGCCCAAAUCCUGGCAUGUGGUUUUAACCUGUGUGCCAUUUUCUCCUCUUUAAAAUGAGAUGAGAUAAUAAAGGUUCCUACUGCAUAGAGUUGUGUGAAGAUGGAAUUGGAUAACACAUGGAACGCUUAGAUCAAUAUCUAGUCCAUAAAUUCUCAACAACUGUUGUAUUAUUAUUACUAAAAAGAAACCACCUCAAGAAGUUGAGAUUUCAAGCUCGGACUGUGGCUGAAAGAGAACAUGACUUUUCCGGAAACCAGUCAGAGAUAUCCAACUCAGCUCACCUUCCAGUUUUGCUCCUCCAACUCCCAGACUGUGUGGUUCUGCACAACAGUGAAGAAAAUAUUGAGGAACCGAAACAAGCUGAGGCAGGUAAGUCCCACCCCCUCCUCCACUCAGAUGCCGGAGGCCUGACACCAGUUAGGCUGGUGUACCUGCAGCAUUCUGCCCUGGGUUUGCCUUUGAUCCCACCCCUGCAGUCUAGCCACCAGGAAACAAAAAAUCUCCUCUCUGGGUUUUCUAAGCCUUACCUUUUGGUUCAGGGCAGAUCAGAACCCAGGAAACCCUGAACUCCAGAUAGGCAUCUGAAGGGAGAGGUGUCUCCACUCUGCCUCCAGCUCAGGUCCUCAGAACUACGCUUUGCCCUCACCUCACCUGACUGGUGCAGCACAUCCAGCCUCGUGCUCCUUGUUUUCUGGACAGUUUCCUUUUGUUGUGUUUGAUUUCCUUCUCUCAAGUAGUCAUUCAGUUUCCACAGUGAAUCCUGACUGGCACGCUAGAGUAUACACAGGCCUGAACACAUACUUGAAAGGUUGUGCCUCUCUUGCCUCCUGUUCCAGCUUCCUACCAUCCAAACUACACAAAUCAGCAAGUACCUCUUCCAAAUUUGUUUUUUUAGUGAACAGGGUCUCACUCUGUUGCCCAAGCUACAGUGCAGUGGUACAGUCAUAGCUCACUGCAGCCUCCUACUCCUGGGCUCAAGUGAUCCUCCCACCUCAGCCUCCCAAAUAGUUGGGACUACAGGUGCAUGCCACUACACCCAGCUAAUUAUUAAACUUUUUGUCGAGAUGGGAUCUCACUAUGUUGCCCAGGCUGGUCCUGAACUCCUGGGCUCAAGUGAUGCUCUUGACCCAAAGCGCUGGGA